RNA transcript from Cynara cardunculus var. scolymus (artichoke), 1042 nucleotides. RefSeq lists it as uncharacterized. NCBI's taxonomy places the organism in Eukaryota, Viridiplantae, Streptophyta, Magnoliopsida, Asterales, Asteraceae. The transcript has 7 exons. The record is from RefSeq and is a predicted model, not a curated record.
UUAUCGCUCCUAUAUGCAGCACCUAUGAUGGUUUCCUUCCCAAAAGCAACGAUUUGAUUCCCCAAAAUGGCGAUUCAAGCACUCGGUUAAUUCAAAUAUGAUUAGAAAUAGGUUUGGGUUCUUAUUGAUAUCGCUCCUCAACCGAUUCAUUGCUCCUUCCAAGUUCCAUCACUAUUUCAAUCGAGCUUAUAUGAAGAGCCAAUGAGCUAGACGAGAUGUUUCCGGUUGUAGAUCUGAAAAAUAAAUCCAAUAUAUUUGUAAGCAUAUUGUGGAAGCAACUCAACCGUCUUGGGAAUAUUGGCUUUGAUCCAGAGACCUUUAGGAUAAACCCAUAUAGAAUUGCUCAGUUUGUCCAUGCUUAUUCUGUUUUCCCUCUUGCUUCGGAUAUUGAUCAUUGGUUCAUUUGCUCAAGGGGAGGGGAUUGACUGCUUCAAGCAAUUUAAGGUUAUUAGAAUGGCAAGUAUGCAAGAAGAAGCAUAACAAGCUCGAGUUUUUGGUUCCAUGGUGGGAUCUUCAAAUGGAUGCAGACUCUUUAUUUUCCCAAGACAAUUUGCAACGACUCUUUCUUCCAAGAUGACGAUUCACGUUCAGGCUACUAUUCAUACUCUUGACGAUUCCAAGAUUAUCACUCCUCCUAUUGCUCCUCUCAACGAAGACAUAAAUCAGUGGAAACAACAUGGGGAAACCUUCUACAUGAACUUCAGAACAACUGUUUUUGUUAUACUGUGGUGGUAUGUGGAAACUGCCAGAAUUUCUUGUGCCAACCAACGGGUGGCCGUGCCAGGCUCACCGAAGGAUGCUUCUUAUGGAGGAAGGGCAACUGAUCAAGUAAUCCAUUGUUGCUUUUUUUUAUUAUGGUGUCUUUCUUAAUCAGAAGUUGUUUUGGUUACAAAUUACAAGUUGAGUUGUUUAGGGUAGCUUUUUAUUGUUCUUUGUUAACGGGGGCACACACUUGUUAGUUUGAUAAUGUUGAAUUCGUCCUUGUAAUGACUCAAGUUUUGGAUUUUUGAUAUUAUCUAUUGAUGCAUGAUUUUUGACUCAA